Molecule: ribosomal RNA, 468 nt
Filed under: uncultured bacterium
Lineage: Bacteria
Description: partial 16S ribosomal RNA
Rfam family: Bacterial small subunit ribosomal RNA
Source: RNAcentral
GACGAACGCUGGCGGCGUGCUUAACACAUGCAAGUCGAACGGAAAGGCCCUGCUUUUGUGGGGUGCUCGAGUGGCGAACGGGUGAGUAACACGUGAGUAACCUGCCCUUGACUUUGGGAUAACUUCAGGAAACUGGGGCUAAUACCGGAUAGGAGCUCCUGCUGCAUGGUGGGGGUUGGAAAGUUUCGGCGGUUGGGGAUGGACUCGCGGCUUAUCAGCUUGUUGGUGGGGUAGUGGCUUACCAAGGCUUUGACGGGUAGCCGGCCUGAGAGGGUGACCGGCCACAUUGGGACUGCGAUACGGCCCAGACUCCUACGGGAGGCAGCAGUGGGGAAUAUUGCACAAUGGGCGGAAGCCUGAUGCAGCAACGCCGCAUGCGGGAUGACGGCCUUCGGGUUGUAAACCGCUUUCGCCUGUGACGAAGCGUGAGUGACGGUAAUGGGUAAAGAAGCACCGGCUAACUACGUG